Molecule: ribosomal RNA, 253 nt
Filed under: uncultured bacterium
Lineage: Bacteria
Description: partial 16S ribosomal RNA
Rfam family: Bacterial small subunit ribosomal RNA
Source: RNAcentral
UACAGAGGUGGCAAGCGUUGUUCGGAAUCACUGGGCUUAAAGGGCGCGUAGGCGGGCUGACAAGUCUGGGGUGAAAUGCCGCGGCUCAACCGUGGAACUGCCUCAGAUACUGUCGGCCUCGAGGAAGGUAGGGGCAUGCGGAACUGUAGGUGGAGCGGUGAAAUGCGUUGAUAUCUACAGGAACUCCGGUGGCGAAAGCGGCGGGGUGGACCUUUUCUGACGCUGAGGCGCGAAAGCUAGGGGAGCAAACGGG